This 1450-nucleotide long non-coding RNA is filed under the name Olea europaea subsp. europaea. The record is from RNAcentral. Lineage: Eukaryota; Viridiplantae; Streptophyta; Magnoliopsida; Lamiales; Oleaceae.
CCCCUUUUAAAAUUAGUGAAAAUGGUGAGAAGAAGUUGAGUAAUCAUGGAGAAACGUUAUAUGAAAUUAGAUUACUAUGAUAAAACAUUAUAUGAUAUUGAGUGAUCAUGAUGAAAUAAAUAAAAAUGGAUGACUAUGAUCGUAAGUAUCAAGUUGGAUAGCUAUAAUGAAAUAAAAUCAAAUUGGGUUGUCAUGAGAAAACUAAAGUUUGGUGACCAUUGAUGGGUUUACCGGAGUAGGACACUCCAAUCCAAAAUUAAUUAAAUAAUCUUAGUCAUAGGACUGUCAUUAAUAUUUGAUAAUUAGCUUCAUACUAGCAUCAUCCAACGUUUAUGAAUUUAGACACAAUGCAAACGUCCACAAUUUAGUAGGAUGCAUAAAACCCACAAUCUCAAUCAAUUACGACAUUUUGCCCAAAUGCAUACUGAAGUCAAACACUUUACAAUAGAAAAGAGUAAUGCCCAGUAAAUAUGAGGCAAUUAUAUUGAUCCAUGACCCACAAUUUCAAUCAAAUCCCUACUGUUUAAUUACGAUAUCUUGUACAAAUGCAAAUCAAACUCUGAUAAUACUUUCGUCGUCGUUUUCCUUCAUUAAGAUGGAAAAGAAUAAUACCCAGCAAAUAUGAGGCUUCCACAUUUAAACAUGAAAUAAAUUUAUAAAAUGGGGAUUUAAAGAAAUUCUUUUACCUGGGUUUUGAGCCAUGACUAGGAUUCUUUGAAUUGAAGCAGCAAUUUCAACGUGAAAUGAAGCGUCCCUGGUGAAGGGGAUUAUCAUUAACAGCAAAAUAAGUGAGCGCUAUAUUGAAAUUUUGCACAAUAAUCCCCAUUUUCAGUAGUGAUAAAUGAAAAUUGUGUACCAACAGAUUUUCUCCAUGUUUGAGUAUGAGAAUAUUAACAUACUCAUGAUGAUUGAGAAACGGAUUGAUUCUAACAUCUGGAAUGAACAAAAACUGAAUUCAGUUUUUCAUCAAAAUCUAAGGGAAUAAAUGGACCUAUUUUUUCAUGCUUAACCAGUGAUUCAUUAACACAUUGCAUUUAUUUCCUACACACGCUGCUUCCCCUACAUACUUCAAAUUGAAAAUUAGCUCAUAUUCAAAGAAUAUUGUCAAGAGAAAAAGAAAGUAAAUAAUUUAUCAGCUUUGAAAUCGAAAGAGUAAAUAUGUGAAUCAAUAAAUCAAACCGAAGCCUAAAAAAAUCUAAGUUUUUUCAUCUCCACCACUCCUGAUUUUCACUUGCGCGAAUUUAAAAUCAAGAUCCAGCAGAAAACUACGUAGAUGAAAAACAAUUCUGGAAAUUUUUCGUGAAUUUUUAUUGCUUGAAGAAGAGAAGUCAUGUCCAGAAAGAAAAUGGAGAGAAUCCAUCACACGGCCUGAUGAAUGAGAUAUGAAUGAAGUUAGGGAUUUGAAAUGGGGUCAAAUUCUCGAAAUGAAAUGUGGGGAUGGAAAAUAGUG